UCCCGGUUAACCCGGGCAGUCUCACUAGAGUUCCCACCAUUACGUGUUGGCAACUAGUGAUAAGGGUUGCGCUCGUUGCGGGACUUAACCCAACACCUCACGGCACGAGCUGACGACAGCCAUGCAGCACCUGUGCAGAGACCCUCGCGGGCGACGACAUUUCUGCCGUCUUCCUCUACAUGUCAAGUCUGGGUAAGGUUCUUCGCGUUGCAUCGAAUUAAACCACAUGCUCCACUGCUUGUGCGGGUCCCCGUCAAUUCUUUUGAGUUUCACCCUUGCGAGCGUACUCCCCAGGCGGUAUACUUAUCGCGUUAGCUACGGCACAACCGGGGUUGAGUCCGGUUACACCAAGUAUACAUCGUUUACGGCAAGGACUAC
This 378-nucleotide unclassified non-coding RNA is filed under the name uncultured Parachlamydiaceae bacterium. RNAcentral's name for it is "contains 16S-23S intergenic spacer region". The record is from RNAcentral. Lineage: Bacteria; Pseudomonadati; Chlamydiota; Chlamydiia; Parachlamydiales; Parachlamydiaceae.